RNAcentral lists this unclassified non-coding RNA (869 nucleotides) under Penaeus chinensis. Its description in RNAcentral is "kRAB-A domain-containing protein 2-like, transcript variant X3". Lineage: Eukaryota; Metazoa; Arthropoda; Malacostraca; Decapoda; Penaeidae. The record is from RNAcentral.
GCGACAUUAGCAGGUGCUCCACUCGCAUUAAGCAUCCUCGAGCGAGUCAGCAUGGAUCUCAUUGAAUUGCCUAAGUCGGACAAUGAUUUCAAGUAUGUCUUAGUCAUUGUAGAUCAGUUAUCACGUUUUACUCAGCUUGUACCUCUUAAAGAUAAACGAGCCGUAACUGUCACAAAUGCUUUGAUUAAUGAUUUCAUUACAAUCUUUGGUCCACCACAAGCUUUCAUUUGUGAUAAUGGCACUGAAUUUUCUAAUUCUCUUCUCAGAGCUGUUUGUAAGCUGCUGGAAACUAAGAUAAACUUUACAACCCCUUAUCAUCCAGAAAGUAAUGGGUUAUGUGAAAGGACUAACAGAAUAGUUAAAGAUACUUUAUAUGCACUAACUGAGAAGAAUCCUCGUCUAUGGGACACGAUGAUACCUCAUGUUAGGUUUGCUAUCAACUCUUCAGUUAACAGAAAGCCACUGGUCUGACGGCACGCUGGACAGGUCCCUUAAGGAUCACAAAGCGCACUGGACCUGUGACUUAUCUGGUGAAAGACUUGGUAAAGAACAGUGUUUAUCGACUUCAUCGUAAUGAUAUGCUGUCCUACGAGGCACAAGACGAACUGGAGAUAGUGAGUCCAGAUGGUGUUCUUGCAGAACACUCUCCUGAUGAUCCGUUAAGUGUUAUGAUGUUAUCUCUUGUGAGAAGAUUUACAGGCUAUCUGCAUGGUCUGUUCCUGCCGCUGUCCUGAUCAAUGAAACCAAGUGGAUCUGAUGCUGUUUGCUGCUGUCAUCCCAGUGGAUUGAAUGUCAUGACUUCUUGCAGCCCUGUUCCAGCCUCCGACCACCUUGUGGAGUCCCACGGCUUAGAAUCCUGCCUUAUCUCU